This 115-nucleotide ribosomal RNA is filed under the name Martinezella rhizogenes. Lineage: Bacteria; Pseudomonadati; Pseudomonadota; Alphaproteobacteria; Hyphomicrobiales; Rhizobiaceae. The record is from RNAcentral.
CCUGGUGGUUAUCGCGGGGCGGCUGCACCCGUUCCCAUUCCGAACACGGCCGUGAAACGCCCCAGCGCCAAUGGUACUCCGUCUCACUCCUCUUUAUCUUAGGUCGCUUCCCUUU